CGGCACGGCCGCUGGUUGUCUGAGCCGGAGCCCGUUUUGGAGCUUUCGUGGAAGAGAAAUCAGCUCUGAGAGCAGGCUCCUGCUUUUAACUGCUUCCACAGCCGUGGGGACACUUCAGAGCGCCGAACCUGUUGCCAUUUCUCUCUUCGUGCGUUUGAAGAAGUUAUUGCUAGUGAAAGUGCCAAGCACUCGGGGCCUGUUUGUUUGUCUGCUUCACUCCGCGUUUUUCAAGCUUUGGUUCACUGCAUUUUUUUUCCAAUUUUCCUUAAAAAUCCAAGGGUUCCAUUUUGUCCAAGCCUGGUUGGGACUGUUUCAAAACAGCACUCCUUCGAGCCGGAUUCGAACCAGCGACCUAAGGAUUACCGCGCUCUCCCUACAGUCCUCCGCUCUACCAACUGAGCUAUCGAAGGAAGACACGAAGGUGUUCUUUUAACGCUUGUGAAAUAGCAGGUAGAUUGCGCUGAUUCGUCCGUGAGGCGGGCUGUAAGGGGAUGCUUCUGAGGCGAGUUUGAACCCACGUUGGAGAUACGUGCUUUUAAUGUGUGUGUGUUUCACGUAGGUUCUCAAAAAGAUGCUCCUAGGAAUGUGCAUGUACAAACGGGACCACCCGCCCCUCUGUGGACCCUCUGUGAAGAGGUCUUCUUAGCACCCCUUUCUUCUAUUAAAAGUGAAUGAAAAUGACAACGGUACCAAAGACAGACGACACCAUCCCAGAGCUGCUGUCUGUCUCGUGAGACACGUUCGUGGUUCUCCUUUCUGAACAAAGGAAAACCAGAGCGUAGACACGCAGGCAUGGGCUACAAAACCUGAGAGGCCUUUGACACGUAGGGAAGGAGUGGGGCAGGCUGUUUUUGCCCAGUUGUAGUGGGGCAGAUAAAUGAAGCAUUCCGUAUACGCCUCAAUCAAUAAUUUUACCCAUUUCGCUUUUAAGUAUGCUGUAAUGCCUGACUAGCCAACACUCAAGGUGCCGUUCGGUUUCCCGAUCAUAAGACAGAAAAAUAAUCGCUGUGGGGAAAAAGCAGAAGCCAUUCGGGAAUUUUUAUAGGAUAUAUGAAUUAGGAGAGGUUUGGAUAUUACAAACUGUGACAUAUAAAAACCUUCCUGGCCCGUCUACAGAGGAUCAUCAACAUUAGAGGUUUACCUGCAGUUUAUACACGUAAAGAUCGUUGUUAAUCAGUACUGUUGCUUGUAUUGUAUCUUUAUACCAUCUCUUGAUAGUAGGGUCUAAAUGUCAAAACGCACCUCCUUCGAGCCGGAUUCGAACCAGCGACCUAAGGAUAUCAGCAACCACCUACAGUCCUCCGCUCUACCAACUGAGCUAUCGAAGGGGCUUCUCCAACUGUUUAUGAUUUAUGAAUAGAUGGAUAUUUUGUUCUGUUUUCUGAUUCAUUUUUAAAGACAGGCAACCAUCAGGAAAGUCUUUUGAUAAGCUAGAAUACUGCCUUCGUCGCACUUGUCCUGCUGUGCUGUCCUGUGCUUUAGGGCCUCUUCCCUCUAUUAAAAGCGGGAGAACAUGCCGACAACAUCAGAGCCAGACAGUGCCACCCUGAAGCAAAGCUAUUGCUCAGUUCACCAGAGACACGCGCAAUUCUCUUCUCUGAAGAACAGGAGAAGUCAAGGGUGAAUGCAAACGCAUGAGACACAAAACUUGAGGGGUUUUUGAUUGGUGUUUUAGUUUGAAAUCGAUCGCCAGGUUAAAAUACUAUGGCCGAGAGCGACGUGGGGAGGACAGGGUUUCCUUAACUUACACGUCUCCAUCAUAGAGUGUUGUGAGGGAAGCCUGGGCUGACGCUCCAGCAAGGCAGAUGCCUGGAGGUGGGAACUGAAGCAGCCAGCAUGGACGGGUGCUGCUUACUGGCCUGCUCAGUGUGGUUUGCUCAGCCUGAUUUCUUAUGCAACCGAUGGCCACUUGCCAGGAAGACUUAGAGUUUAUUAAUUAUGAAAGGCUAGGAGCUGUGACUACAGAGGAAGAAGGUAGGGAGCGGAAGGCCGUAAGGAGCCGGGAGAGCCUAGGUGCACCGGAAAGCUUCUGAGAAGAAAAAACCAGAACGCAUACAUCAAGAGCAAAAACACAGCCUGCAGAUAUUUACGAGCUCUGCCUAGAUUCUCCCGCGUCACCCAUCACGGCCAUUUCAAGAGGCUCCUCUUCAGUCGUCUCCGGUAACGGGGAGGAAGGAGGGGAACAGAGACUCUUUUAUAAGCUCACACCCAUCUUUUCUCAAUCCUACCAUCCCAGCUGAAAGGACGGCACAUUUUUAGGCAUCUGUAGAAUCGUCAGAAUGGGGUGGAGUGUGUUGGGGACACAUUGUGUAAAACUGAGUGAGCUAAUAGCUUCUUGGGGGAAAAUGGUAUUCAUAAAAUUCUUCCUAAAUGUCAGGACCACAGGGGACCCCGCUGGCUGUCGAAUAUAUCUGAUUCCUGGUUAAGAAGAUAAGUAUUGAAAGUAGGGGACCCUUGCCUUUCUCCAAAUCCAACUUUGGCACAGGAGGGAGAACCUAGAGUUAUCAGAAGCAGCAAGUGGAACGCGGCAUGGGCUUCUAGGUUCAGUCUCUGCCAUUUACAUUUUAAAUACCUGCCGUCAAAACGUCCGUCCUUCGAGCCGGGUUCGAACCAGCGACCUAAGGAUUUCUCGUCGGGGCUCGUCCCACUACAGUCCUCCGCUCUACCAACUGAGCUAUCGAAGGAUACAAUAGUUCUUGAUUAGUAGUACCAUAAGGUUUCUAUUUUGCUCUGUUGCUAACAUUUUUAAGAUAAUAUUAGGCUGAGUCUAUAUAAUAAUGCUGAUAGUCCCAUGGGUAUAUAACACAAACAAAAGCCCUGUACCGUUUUCUGUCCUAGACCCUCUUCUUCUAGACAUUCUGUAGCCUGCCUGGCCCUUCUGAUUACUUCUUUUCUCCUACAUUUGUCUAGCUUUUCUAGGUAAAUGAGAUGGUCGCAUUAAGUAUGAGACAACUGAGGAAGCCAGUUGUAGGUUGUAGGCAGCAAUGGCCAGCGUAUUUUGGUGCUCCGGUGUUUCUUCCUGGAAGUGGAGGCGGUACCAUUUUACAACUGCCAAAACUUCGGUCUGAGUUUUAAGAUGUUCUUCAUCUUCAGCCACAUCUGGAAUCUGAGAGUUUGGGAAGUCACCGGAACCCCAAACUUUGUUUCUGAUGAAGCCCUCAUGCUGGGAGUGUAGUCAUGCCAGGAGAUAGAUCUGUGCCCUGGGAGCAAGCUAAUAUUUCGAUCCUGUUCCACAUCUACACUGAUCAUAGUCAUUUGAUAAGUAAGAAGAUGAUGAAUGGAGACCAGACUGGGAAGAUUCUGUCCAGCAAGGAGAAAGAAUCUAGACUGUGUUUUGACUGUCUUGCUCCGAUUUUAUCGGUGACUUCGGGGUCAUCUUCCACAACGCAGUGAAUUUCUGCCUCAAUCACCAGCUUCUGCGUACUAUUUUGGAAAAGUGAUUUUUAAACUCCUCGAAAUAGUGCCUACAGAAACCUAACGGAAGAGAAAUUAACUCCCCUCCACUCUUGGCCGUGUGGCCUCCAGCACUGAUCUAAAAAAAGAAAAAAAGCCAAAGGUCUUUGGUCACCUGGAGGCCGAGAGUGUGAAGGCUGAUGGGCACCAAGGGGUAAGACAAAGCGGAGCCUCGCGGCCUGGGCACCUGGAUUGUUUCUCUCGGCCUAAGGCUAAAUCUCCAUCUGGCGCCGUUUCUGUCUGUACACAACGUCCCAGAGUUAAGUUCUUCCCGACCCCAGCCCCGCCGUUUCCGUGACGUCUGCGCCCUGGCCCACCCGUACCCCUGUGACCCCGCAGAGCUGACAGUACUGUCUGUGUCCUGCACGUGCAGGAAGUCACCCCGGGCUGUUCCGAGACCACCAGGCCACUGUCUCACCCUUGCAGCUUCGUUUAGCUCUGUAACCCAAACUGGCGUCAAAGAGCAGGCAAUUCUCCUGCCUCAGAACUCCGUCAUCCCUUUCCCUGCGGUCCUGGGAUUACAGAGCCCCACACCCGGCCCAGGAAAAUCUUUCUUUCGUAUUGCAUUUCACCUUCCCCAUUUCAGCUUUUAGCCUCUUGUCCAGAUUUCACUGGACUUAAAAAAACAAACAAACAAACAAACAAUAACAAAACAAAAACUAUUAAACCUGUCCAGAUACAUACACACUCAAAAAAACAAAAACAAACAACAACAAAAAACCCAAACACCUGAUUGGGGCAGCAACUGCUGAGUUACAUCGAGGUAUCAGAAGGGACGCAGGGAGCCGCAGCAGGCCGGCAGAUGGGGAAUUAGCUCAAAUGGUAGAGCGCUCGCUUAGCAUGCGAGAGGUAGCGGGAUCGAUGCCCGCAUUCUCCAGUUUUGCUUCCGAGCCGCCGUUCGCUUCUUUUCCCAGGAUACACCGCGAGAGCGAGAGCCGCCGACACGGACACGCCCGAGGCCCCUCUUCGGGAAGCGCGGCUCGCACACGGGUGUGCUGAAUCCGGGCCGUUGCCGUGGUCGCUGCAGAGGACAGUUGUUUUUAAAA
This is a long non-coding RNA of Meriones unguiculatus (Mongolian gerbil), 4499 nucleotides long. RefSeq lists it as uncharacterized. Lineage: Eukaryota; Metazoa; Chordata; Mammalia; Rodentia; Muridae. The transcript is spliced from 2 exons. The record is from RefSeq and is a predicted model, not a curated record.